CCCCCUGUGGCUCAGUUGGUAGAGCAUGGUGUUUGCAAUGCCAGGGUUGUGGGUUUGAUUCCCACGGGGGGC
Non-coding RNA from Salmo salar (Atlantic salmon), 72 nucleotides. NCBI's taxonomy places the organism in Eukaryota, Metazoa, Chordata, Actinopteri, Salmoniformes, Salmonidae. The record is from Rfam.